UACAGAGGUCCCAAGCGUUGUUCGGAUUCACUGGGCGUAAAGGGUGCGUAGGCGGUCGGGUAAGUCUGACGUGAAAUCUCCGGGCCUAACCCGGAAACUGCGUUGGAAACUGCCUGGCUAGAGGAGUGGAGGGGAGACUGGAAUACUUGGUGUAGCAGUGAAAUGCGUAGAUAUCAAGUGGAACACCAGUGGCGAAGGCGAGUCCCUGGACACUUCCUGACACUGAGGCACGAAAGCUAGGGGAGCAAACAGG
RNAcentral lists this ribosomal RNA (253 nucleotides) under uncultured bacterium. RNAcentral's name for it is "partial 16S ribosomal RNA". It matches the Rfam family "Bacterial small subunit ribosomal RNA", at positions 524 to 776 of the family's 1533-position model. The record is from RNAcentral.